This 427-nucleotide ribosomal RNA is filed under the name uncultured prokaryote. RNAcentral's name for it is "bacterial SSU rRNA". It matches the Rfam family "Bacterial small subunit ribosomal RNA", at positions 355 to 774 of the family's 1533-position model. The record is from RNAcentral.
UGGGGAAUUUUGGACAAUGGGCGCAAGCCUGAUCCAGCCAUGCCGCGUGAGUGAAGAAGGCCUUCGGGUUGUAAAGCUCUUUCGGUGGGGAAGAAAUUGCUUCGGCUAAUAUCCGGAGUAGAUGACGGUACCCGCAUAAGAAGCACCGGCUAACUACGUGCCAGCAGCCGCGGUAAUACGUAGGGUGCGAGCGUUAAUCGGAAUUACUGGGCGUAAAGCGUGCGCAGGCGGUUGUGUAAGUCAGAUGUGAAAUCCCCGGGCGCAACCUGGGAACUGCAUUUGAGACUGCACGGCUAGAGUGUGGCAGAGGGGGGUGGAAUUCCACGUGUAGCAGUGAAAUGCGUAGAGAUGUGGAGGAACACCGAUGGCGAAGGCAGCCCCCUGGGCCAAUACUGACGCUCAUGCACGAAAGCGUGGGGAGCAAACA